RNAcentral lists this ribosomal RNA (482 nucleotides) under uncultured bacterium. Its description in RNAcentral is "bacterial SSU rRNA". It matches the Rfam family "Bacterial small subunit ribosomal RNA", at positions 96 to 562 of the family's 1533-position model. The record is from RNAcentral.
CGGCGGAUGGGUGAGUAUCACGUGGGCAACCUGCCUGUAAGAUUGGGAUAACUCGCGGAAACGUGAGCUAAUACCGAAUGAAGUCUUUCACCACCUGGUGAAAGGAUGAAAGAUGGCUUUUAGCUAUCACUUACAGAUGGGCCCGCGGCGCAUUAGCUAGUUGGUGGGGUAAAGGCCUACCAAGGCGACGAUGCGUAGCCGACCUGAGAGGGUGAUCGGCCACACUGGGACUGAGACACGGCCCAGACUCCUACGGGAGGCAGCAGUAGGGAAUCUUCCGCAAUGGACGAAAGUCUGACGGAGCAACGCCGCGUGAGUGAUGAAGGUCUUCGGAUCGUAAAACUCUGUUGUCAGGGAAGAACAAGUUGUGUUCUAACAGGACAUGACCUUGACGGUACCUGACCAGAAAGCCCCGGCUAACUACGUGCCAGCAGCCGCGGUAAUACGUAGGGGGCAAGCGUUGUCCGGAAUUAUUGGGCGUA